CGGCGCGGCUGCAAGAGCAACAGAGACAGGGAAGCGAGAGAGAGUAUUUAUGUGAGGGCCAUAAAAAUGCAGUCUUCUCCGUUGGAGUUGGUCGGCGCGGCAUAUUUGCCUUGGCUUUUGAUUUAUGCACAGCCCAACUGCGGCGGUGGCAGCAACAGCAGUAGCGGCAGCAAUGCCGUGGCAAGUGAGGCAAAAUAAUGCAAUAAAUUUGACAUUAUCGCGAGCAGCCAUAAGAUAUGGCGGAAUUGGUAAUGGCGCACGGCCAAGGCGCAGGCGUGGAAAGGUGAAAAUCUGCGUCCUCAGCACUUAAAAACAUAUGCAUGUAUGCAUAUAUGUACAUACAAAGCUAUUCAAGUGCGCUGCUGAUGCGGUAAUGGCAUGCGCGUAGGUCGUAAAAAUGUGAAAAUACUACAACAAACGUGAUAUAAGAAACACAUAAAAAAAUCAAUGCUCAAACGAAGACGUAUAAAUAUUCAAAAGGUUGUGCUACAAAAGAAGUUCAGUGAAAAUUUCAUUUAUGUACAUUUUAUAUGGAUAUAUGGCAGGAGCGCACAUAAAACGAGAAAAUGUUCAAUAUGACGAAAGCAGAUAAAUACGAAAAACGCUCAUAAAUGCGGCAAAUGGCUAAGACGCGAUGAACAUCAAAGUACACCUCAAGUAUGUAAGUAAGUACCAGGACCUGUUUUAGUACAAAACAAUGGCUGAAAUACAUAUGUACGAGUAUGUAAAAGCAGACAGUUUCAAGUACUCGGCGGCUCAUAAAAUGCGAACAGCGUCACUUGCGAGGAUAACGUCCAACGUAUUUUACGAUCUGCUAAGAAGGUGGUCCCCCAUAACCGCUGGCUCAAGAACAUGCAUAAAAAACGAUAUAAAAAGAGAAAUCCAAACAAGUCCAUUGCUUAUCGUAAUUGUUGGGUUAUUAUUCGCCUGAUUUUAUGUGGCGAGCAGCAUUGGCAAUCGCUGGCUAUAAGUCUGCGCUAUAAUCACAUAAGUGGCAUCUGAAACUAAAAACGUUCGCAUUCAACACAUUUAGCUGGUUAAAGUGAUCAGCAUAAAAAGGUUGUUGGAUAUAAACAUACUUUUAUGUAAUUCUGUACCCAUUGGAUUUACUCUUCCAUACAAUUAUAGAGGUUAAAGAUUUGAGCGCUUUUUAAGCAGUAUUAUUGGUGCAGUUUUUCGCAAAGUGAAAGUGCAGUUGAUUGCGGUAAUUGCUUGACAGUUAAAGUUUGAACGUUUUAAAUAUCUUAAUAAAGUAUUAAGGAAUUCGAAGUAAGGAAAGGCUUGCCGUCGAAUACCAUUGUCGUAAAAAUAAGUCCAACUUAUAGUCCCCAAAAAUGUGAGUUUAAAAACAUUAUAUUAAUAGACAAUGGUAAGGCUCUCCGACUUGGCAUUUUUAAAAGAUAUAAUAUAAUCUCAAUAAAAGUUUUCAAAAAUUAUUACAGCAAUCUCAGCGU
Rhagoletis zephyria (snowberry fruit fly) is the source of this 1454-nucleotide long non-coding RNA. RefSeq lists it as uncharacterized. Lineage: Eukaryota; Metazoa; Arthropoda; Insecta; Diptera; Tephritidae. The record is from RefSeq and is a predicted model, not a curated record.